RNAcentral lists this ribosomal RNA (497 nucleotides) under uncultured bacterium. RNAcentral's name for it is "partial 16S ribosomal RNA". It matches the Rfam family "Bacterial small subunit ribosomal RNA", at positions 28 to 507 of the family's 1533-position model. The record is from RNAcentral.
GAUGAACGCUGGCGGCGUGCCUAAUACAUGCAAGUCGAGCGAACAGACGAGGAGCUUGCUCCUCUGACGUUAGCGGCGGACGGGUGAGUAACACGUGGAUAACCUACCUAUAAGACUGGGAUAACUUCGGGAAACCGGAGCUAAUACCGGAUAAUAUAUUGAACCGCAUGGUUCAAUAGUGAAAGACGGUUUUGCUGUCACUUAUAGAUGGAUCCGCGCCGCAUUAGCUAGUUGGUAAGGUAACGGCUUACCAAGGCGACGAUGCGUAGCCGACCUGAGAGGGUGAUCGGACACACUGGAACUGAGACACGGUCCAGAAUCCUACGGGAGGCAGAAGUAGGGAAUCUUCCGCAAUGGGCGAAAGCCUGACGGAGCAACGCCGCGUGAGUGAUGAAGGUCUUCGGAUCGUAAAACUCUGUUAUUAGGGAAGAACAAAUGUGUAAGUAACUAUGCACGUCUUGACGGUACCUAAUCAGAAAGCCACGGCUAACUACGUG